This 72-nucleotide transfer RNA is filed under the name Ovis aries (sheep). It matches the Rfam family "tRNA". Rfam says of the family: Transfer RNA (tRNA) molecules are approximately 80 nucleotides in length. Their secondary structure includes four short double-helical elements and three loops (D, anti-codon, and T loops). Lineage: Eukaryota; Metazoa; Chordata; Mammalia; Artiodactyla; Bovidae. The record is from Rfam by way of RNAcentral.
UCCCUGGUGGCUCAGAUGGUAAAGCAUCUGCCUGCAAUGCAGGAGACCUAGGUUCGAUUCCUGGGUUGGGAA